RNAcentral lists this ribosomal RNA (482 nucleotides) under uncultured bacterium. Its description in RNAcentral is "partial 16S ribosomal RNA". It matches the Rfam family "Bacterial small subunit ribosomal RNA", at positions 28 to 507 of the family's 1533-position model. The record is from RNAcentral.
GAUGAACGCUAGCGGCAGGCCUAAUACAUGCAAGUCGAACGAGAUUAAGAGGCUUGCUUCUUAUGAAAGUGGCGCACGGGUGCGUAACGCGUAUGCAACCUACCUUAAUCAGGGGGAUAGCCCGAAGAAAUCCGGAUUAAGACCGCAUAAAAACACAGGAUAGCAUUAUCCAAUGUUCAAAUAUUUAUAGGAUUAAGAUGGGCAUGCGUGUCAUUAGCUAGUUGGCGGGGUAACGGCCCACCAAGGCGACGAUGACUAGGGGAUCUGAGAGGAUGACCCCCCACACUGGUACUGAGACACGGACCAGACUCCUACGGGAGGCAGCAGUAAGGAAUAGUGGUCAAGGGAGGGAACUCUGAACCAGCCAUGCCGCGUGCAGGAAGACAGCCCUCUGGGUCGUAAACUGCUUUUAUUCGGGAAUAAACCUUUCUACGUGUAGGAAGCUGAAUGUACCGAAGGAAUAAGGAUCGGCUAACUCCGUG